Molecule: ribosomal RNA, 495 nt
Filed under: uncultured bacterium
Lineage: Bacteria
Description: partial 16S ribosomal RNA
Rfam family: Bacterial small subunit ribosomal RNA
Source: RNAcentral
GACGAACGCUGGCGGCGUGCCUAAUACAUGCAAGUAGAACGCUGAAGGAGGAGCUUGCUUCUCUGGAUGAGUUGCGAACGGGUGAGUAACGCGUAGGUAACCUGCCUGGUAGCGGGGGAUAACUAUUGGAAACGGUAGCUAAUACCGCAUAAUAGUAGAUGUUGCAUGACAUUUGCUUAAAAGGUGCAAUUGCAUCACUACCAGAUGGACCUGCGUUGUAUUAGCUAGUUGGUGGGGUAACGGCUCACCAAGGCGACGAUACAUAGCCGACCUGAGAGGGGGAUCGGCCACACUGGGACUGAGACACGGCCCAGACUCCUACGGGAGGCAGCAGUAGGGAAUCUUCGGCAAUGGACGGAAGUCUGACCGAGCAACGCCGCGUGAGUGAAGAAGGUUUUCGGAUCGUAAAGCUCUGUUGUAAGAGAAGAACGAGUGUGAGGGUGGAAAGUUCACACUGUGACGGUAUCUUACCAGAAAGGGACGGCUAACUACGUG